RNAcentral lists this long non-coding RNA (540 nucleotides) under Monodelphis domestica (gray short-tailed opossum). Its description in RNAcentral is "lncRNA (ENSMODG00000038318.1)". Lineage: Eukaryota; Metazoa; Chordata; Mammalia; Didelphimorphia; Didelphidae. The record is from RNAcentral.
UAACAAAGAAACCAAGCAAAGACACUAUCCUUUUGAGGAAGAGGGUAAAUCUGUGCUCUGGUGAAAGCAAGGGAAAGAGAACCAGUGGAAAGGAGGAGACUAAAGAUGCUAUGGAGAGUAGUCUGUAAAUGAGAGAACGAGAUCCUAGAAGAUGUCCUUCUGAAGUGGCAAACCAAAUUCUGUGUGUACUAUUCCGGUCCCCAAAUGGUGAUCUGGAUAAAUCAAAUGUCAUCCUGAGGACUUGCACCCCCUGAGAGUACUUCCUCCAUUCCAGUGCCUUUUCUAAGAUGUCAUUCAUGGUGACCUCUGCACUGUCCCAAUGUUCAUCUGAAGAAAGAAGAGUGCACAAAGCAGCAUUUCUUCUAACAAAAAGCCAUUGUUUGACUGCAAAGCCAGAAGAUGAAUAAUUCUCAACCAAAGUGGAAGGGCUAAAGUCAAAUCUCUAAAUGGGCUCAUUAGAAUCCAAGGGAUGGAAAAUGGUGUCAACCUUGCCAUCAUCCUUGAUAACAUGGAGAUAAUAAACAGCAAUGCUGUCAUUGU